UACGGAGGGGGCUAGCGUUGUUCGGAAUUACUGGGCGUAAAGCGCGCGUAGGCGGCUUUGUAAGUUAGAGGUGAAAGCCCGGAGCUCAACUCCGGAAUUGCCUUUAAAACUGCAUCGCUAGAAUCAUGGAGAGGUUAGUGGAAUUCCGAGUGUAGAGGUGAAAUUCGUAGAUAUUCGGAAGAACACCAGUGGCGAAGGCGACUAACUGGACAUGUAUUGACGCUGAGGUGCGAAAGCGUGGGGAGCAAACAGG
Molecule: ribosomal RNA, 253 nt
Filed under: uncultured bacterium
Lineage: Bacteria
Description: partial 16S ribosomal RNA
Rfam family: Bacterial small subunit ribosomal RNA
Source: RNAcentral